This is a long non-coding RNA of Xenia sp. Carnegie-2017, 718 nucleotides long. RefSeq lists it as uncharacterized. NCBI's taxonomy places the organism in Eukaryota, Metazoa, Cnidaria, Anthozoa, Malacalcyonacea, Xeniidae. The transcript is spliced from 4 exons. The record is from RefSeq and is a predicted model, not a curated record.
UUUACAAAUAUACAUUUAUAUUAUUGACAACUGCCCUUCUUGUGACCUUUCAUAGGCUUUGCACAUUUCUUGCACAAUGGAUUUCUUUUUUUAGCUGUAUGCUCUUGACCUGUACCAAGCAAAUCUUGUAAUUCUUCAUCUGUGCAUGUGGGGGGACAGUCAGUGUUAAGUUUACGUUUUCGAGAACGAAACAAGGUAAUUGCAUCAACUUUUGCUUGCUUUUCAGAAAGCAUCAUGUGCAUUGGCUCUGGAGUGUGUCUCCUCAAUUCAUUUUCAACUUCUUCAAGCUUUUUCCUUGGAGUCUUCAGCAAAGUGUCAUAAAUUUCUUCAACAUAUGCUUCAACAAAAUUGUUUACCUGCAAUACAUGCCAGAAUAAGAGAAAUGAAUAAUUUUUGGUGCGAAAUGAUUAACAACUGAAUGGUAUCCCUCCAAACAGCUGGUCUGGGCAACAGAAGAUGCUUGUUUGAUAGCUUUAACAAGUUUCUUUUUGGUCAUAGAAAUGCUGGAUGACUGGUUUCCCCAAUUCUUUGCACAGUUUUGGACAUGUUUCCCUCAUCCAUUUGGCUAUGGUGGCAUGUCGAUCUGAUACGAAUGUUGUUAUUAUUAGGCCAGUUGUAAGGAGAAAUGACAUGGCCUUUUGGUGACCAAGAGCCUCCAUAGCUGAACUACUCCCUGCUUGGUUUGCCUUUGACAAAAAUAGAUUCCAAUAUCUUUUUU